GAGGAAAGACAUCACUCGCAGAAGAAGCACCGGCUAACUCCGUGCCAGCAGCCGCGGUAAUACGGAGGGUGCAAGCGUUAAUCGGAAUUACUGGGCGUAAAGCGCGCGUAGGUGGCUUGAUAAGCCGGUUGUGAAAGCCCUGGGCUCAACCUAGGAACGGCAUCCGGAACUGUGAAGCUAGAGUGCAGGAGAGGAAGGUAGAAUUCCCGGUGUAGCGGUGAAAUGCGUAGAGAUCGGGAGGAAUACCAGUGGCGAAGGCGGCCUUCUGGACUGACACUGACACUGAGGUGCGAAAGCGUGGGUAGCAAACAGGAUUAGAUACCCUGGUAGUCCACGCCGUAAACGAUGUCGACCAGCCGUUGGGUGCCUUGAGCACUUUGUGGCGAAGUUAACGCGAUAAGUCGACCGCCUGGGGAGUACGGCCGCAAGGUUAAAACUCAAAUGAAUUGACGGGGGCCCGCACAAGCGGUGGAGCAUGUGGUUUAAUUCGAUGCAACGCGAAGAACCUUACCUACCCUUGACAUCCUGCGAACUUGGUAGAGAUACCUUGGUGCCUUCGGGAACGCAGAGACAGGUGCUGCAUGGCUGUCGUCAGCUCGUGUUGUGAAAUGUUGGGUUAAGUCCCGUAACGAGCGCAACCCUUGUCCUUAUUUGCCAGCGCGUAAUGGCGGGAACUCUAAGGAGACUGCCGGUGACAAACCGGAGGAAGGUGGGGACGACGUCAAGUCAUCAUGGCCCAUACGGGUAGGGCUACACACGUGCUACAAUGGCCGGUACAAAGGGCGGCGAGCUCGCGAGAGUCAGCGAAUCCCUUAAAGCCGGUCUCAGUCCGGAUCGGAGUCUGCAACUCGACUCCGUGAAGUCGGAAUCGCUAGUAAUCGUGGAUCAGAAUGCCACGGUGAAUACGUUCCCGGGCCUUGUACACACCGCCCGUCACACCAUGGGAGUGGACUGCACCAGAAGUGGUUAGCCUAACGCAAGAGGGCGAUCACCACGGUGUGGUUCAUGACUGGGGUGAAGUCGUAACAAGGUAGCCGUAGGGGAACCUGCGGCUGGAUCACCUCCUUA
This 1068-nucleotide ribosomal RNA is filed under the name Vreelandella vilamensis. Its description in RNAcentral is "bacterial SSU rRNA". It matches the Rfam family "Bacterial small subunit ribosomal RNA", at positions 464 to 1533 of the family's 1533-position model. Lineage: Bacteria; Pseudomonadati; Pseudomonadota; Gammaproteobacteria; Oceanospirillales; Halomonadaceae. The record is from RNAcentral.